GACGAACGCUGGCGGCGUGCUUAACACAUGCAAGUCGAACGGAAAGGCCCUGCUUUUGUGGGGUGCUCGAGUGGCGAACGGGUAAGUAACACGUGAGUAACCUGCCCUUGACUUUGGGAUAACUUCAGGAAACUGGGGCUAAUACCGGAUAGGAGCUCCUGCUGCAUGGUGGGGGUUGGAAAGUUUCGGCGGUUGGGGAUGGACGCGCGGGUUAUCCGCUUGUUGGUGGGGUAGUGGCUUACCAAGGCUUAGACGGGUAGCCGGCCUGAGAGGGUGACCGGGCACAUUGGGACUGAGGUACGGCCCAGAAUCCUACGGGACGCAGCAGUGGGGAAUAUUGCACAAUGGGCGGAAGCCUGAUGCAGCAGCGCCGCGUGCGGGAUGACGGCCUUCGGGUUGUAAACCGCUUUCGCCUGUGACGAAGCGUGAGUGACGGUACUGGGUAAAGAAGCAACGGCUAACUACGUG
RNAcentral lists this ribosomal RNA (468 nucleotides) under uncultured bacterium. Its description in RNAcentral is "partial 16S ribosomal RNA". It matches the Rfam family "Bacterial small subunit ribosomal RNA", at positions 28 to 507 of the family's 1533-position model. The record is from RNAcentral.